This 1208-nucleotide ribosomal RNA is filed under the name metagenome. RNAcentral describes it as "bacterial SSU rRNA". It matches the Rfam family "Bacterial small subunit ribosomal RNA", at positions 280 to 1498 of the family's 1533-position model. The record is from RNAcentral.
UCAGUAGGGGUUCUGAGAGGAAGGUCCCCCACAUUGGAACUGAGACACGGUCCAAACUCCUACGGGAGGCAGCAGUGAGGAAUAUUGGUCAAUGGACGAGAGUCUGAACCAGCCAAGUAGCGUGCAGGAAGACGGCCCUAUGGGUUGUAAACUGCUUUUAUAAGGGAAUAAAGUGAGAGUCGUGACUCUUUUUGCAUGUACCUUAUGAAUAAGGACCGGCUAAUUCCGUGCCAGCAGCCGCGGUAAUACGGAAGGUCCGGGCGUUAUCCGGAUUUAUUGGGUUUAAAGGGAGCGUAGGCCGGAGAUUAAGCGUGUUGUGAAAUGUAGACGCUCAACGUCUGCACUGCAGCGCGAACUGGUUUCCUUGAGUACGCACAAAGUGGGCGGAAUUCGUGGUGUAGCGGUGAAAUGCUUAGAUAUCACGAAGAACUCCGAUUGCGAAGGCAGCUCACUGGAGCGCAACUGACGCUGAAGCUCGAAAGUGCGGGUAUCGAACAGGAUUAGAUACCCUGGUAGUCCGCACGGUAAACGAUGGAUGCCCGCUGUUGGUCUGAAUAGGUCAGCGGCCAAGCGAAAGCAUUAAGCAUCCCACCUGGGGAGUACGCCGGCAACGGUGAAACUCAAAGGAAUUGACGGGGGCCCGCACAAGCGGAGGAACAUGUGGUUUAAUUCGAUGAUACGCGAGGAACCUUACCCGGGCUUGAAUUGCAGAGGAAGGAUUUGGAGACAAUGACGCCCUUCGGGGCCUCUGUGAAGGUGCUGCAUGGUUGUCGUCAGCUCGUGCCGUGAGGUGUCGGCUUAAGUGCCAUAACGAGCGCAACCCCUCUCCUUAGUUGCCAUCAGGUUAAGCUGGGCACUCUGGGGACACUGCCACCGUAAGGUGUGAGGAAGGUGGGGAUGACGUCAAAUCAGCACGGCCCUUACGUCCGGGGCUACACACGUGUUACAAUGGCAGGUACAGAGAGACGGUCCCUUGCAAAACGGAUCAAAUCCUUAAAGCCUGUCUCAGUUCGGACUGGGGUCUGCAACCCGACCCCACGAAGCUGGAUUCGCUAGUAAUCGCGCAUCAGCCAUGGCGCGGUGAAUACGUUCCCGGGCCUUGUACACACCGCCCGUCAAGCCAUGAAAGCCGGGGGCGCCUAAAGUCCGUGACCGUAAGGAGCGGCCUAGGGCGAAACUGGUAAUUGGGGCUAAGUCGAAACAAGGUA